This 461-nucleotide ribosomal RNA is filed under the name uncultured bacterium. RNAcentral's name for it is "bacterial SSU rRNA". It matches the Rfam family "Bacterial small subunit ribosomal RNA", at positions 1036 to 1498 of the family's 1533-position model. The record is from RNAcentral.
AGGUGCUGCAUGGCUGUCGUCAGCUCGUGUCGUGAGAUGUUGGGUUAAGUCCCGCAACGAGCGCAACCCUUGUCCUUAGUUGCCAUCAUUAAGUUGGGCACUCUAGGGAGAAAACCAGUGUUAAACCGGAGGAAGGUGGGGAUGACGUCAAGUCCUCAUGGCCCUUAUGCCUAGGGCUACACACGUGCUACAAUGGCCGGUACAAAGGGCAGCGAUACCGCAAGGUGGAGCAAAUCCCAAAAAGCCGGUCUCAGUUCGGAUUGGAGUCUGCAACUCGACUCCAUGAAGUUGGAAUCGCUAGUAAUCGCGUAUCAGCAUGACGCGGUGAAUACGUUCCCGGGCCUUGUACACACCGCCCGUCACACCACGGGAGUCUAUUGUACCGGAAACCGGUGGGCUAACCUUCGGGAAGCAGCCGUUUAUGGUAUGAUCGGUAACUGGGGUGAAGUCCAAGCAACAUC